UUGAAUUGAGAAAUAUUUCAGGCAAACAAGAAGACACCACACACUUGGAACAAUAGCUUGCAACUCAAGGAAUCAACCAAAGUUGGAGUAUGCACUUGCGAAAGACGCAAAAAUUGAUUGGAAAAUCCAGUUUAGAAACUGGUGGCGAUCUUCGUUGAUGUAGGAUCAUCAAGAAGGAGCUUCACUUGAUCUUGUGUAUGUUUGACGAUUGACUGCAAGGAUCAAGGGGUUGAGAAAUAGAAGAGAGUUUGAGUUAGAUAGAUAUGCUUCGAGGAAGCUGGACAAAUCUGUAAAAGGGUCUCAAUUCUUUCUAUUGAAAAAGGCUGAAAUCCAGUUGGAUUUCAGGACUGGAUGUAGGCUGUCAUACUGACAGCUGAACCGAGAUAAA
This is a non-coding RNA of Cicer arietinum (chickpea), 388 nucleotides long. The record is from RefSeq and is a predicted model, not a curated record. Lineage: Eukaryota; Viridiplantae; Streptophyta; Magnoliopsida; Fabales; Fabaceae.